Molecule: ribosomal RNA, 244 nt
Filed under: uncultured bacterium
Lineage: Bacteria
Description: partial small subunit ribosomal RNA
Rfam family: Bacterial small subunit ribosomal RNA
Source: RNAcentral
AGAAUCAACGCUGGCGGCGUGCCUAACACAUGCAAGUCGCACGAGAAAGUGGAGCAAUCCAUGAGUAAAGUGGCGCACGGGUGAGUAACACGUGAAUCAUCUACCUCCGAGUGGGGAAUAACCUAGAGAAAUCUGGGCUAAUACCGCAUAACACUUACGAGUCAAAGCAGCAAUGCGCUUGGAGAGGAGUUCGCGGCCGAUUAGUUAGUUGGCGGGGUAAUGGCCCACCAAGACGAUGAUCGGU